Molecule: ribosomal RNA, 498 nt
Filed under: uncultured bacterium
Lineage: Bacteria
Description: partial 16S ribosomal RNA
Rfam family: Bacterial small subunit ribosomal RNA
Source: RNAcentral
GAUGAACGCUGGCGGCGUGCCUAAUACAUGCAAGUCGAGCGAACGGACGAGAAGCUUGCUUCUCUGAUGUUAGCGGCGGACGGGUGAGUAACACGUGGAUAACCUACCUAUAAGACUGGGAUAACUUCGGGAAACCGUAGCUAAUACCGGAUAAUAUUUUGAACCGCAUGGUUCAAAAGUGAAAGACGGUCUUGCUGUCACUUAUAGAUGGAUCCGCGCUGCAUUAGCUAGUUGGUAAGGUAACGGCUUACCGAGGCAACGAUGCAUAGCCGACCUGAGAGGGUGAUCGGCCACACUGGAACUGAGACACGGUCCAGACUCCUACGGGAGGCAGCAGUAGGGAAUCUUCCGCAAUGGGCGAAAGCCUGACGGAGCAACGCCGCGUGAGUGAUGAAGGUCUUCGGAUCGUAAAACUCUGUUAUUAGGGAAGAACAUAUGUGUAAGUAACUGUGCACAUCUUGACGGUACCUAAUCAGAAAGCCACGGCUAACUACGUGC